CUUCAAUACAGAGCUCAAAAUUUUACAAAAUUGUUUUGUUCGAAUCUAUUGAGUACAAAAUAUACUAAUUUACGCUCAAACAUGGACGAGCUUUAUCCGGUAAUACGCGAGUUUAUGGUCGUUUGUAUAACAGCAUUUAUUGACGGCCUGAACAUUGCCAUAAACUUUUGGAGUGGCAUGGACGCGUACACCCAGCAGCCGAAAGACUGCAAUUGCAACUGCUCUGAACCCCCAAGCGACAUGCAGCAGCAGGAACCAGCUGUUGAUGAGCUAUAAACGGAGGACAGGCCACGCCACAAAGUUUGACGGAGUAGCAUCAAAAGCGCGCCAACAUUUGCUUUGAUCCGGAACAGGGAGCAGCGGAAGGUCUGACCAGAACCACGAUGGAUUCGAAUAAGUGGACACCAUCUUUCAUACAAAACUUUAGACUAAACUUUCGACUAAACCACAGGAAAAAAAAAGAAUAAAAUAAAAAUUAAUA
Molecule: long non-coding RNA, 481 nt
Organism: Drosophila guanche
Lineage: Eukaryota; Metazoa; Arthropoda; Insecta; Diptera; Drosophilidae
Exons: 3
Source: RefSeq, a predicted model, not a curated record